RNA transcript from Vicia villosa (hairy vetch), 2502 nucleotides. RefSeq lists it as uncharacterized. The transcript is spliced from 3 exons. NCBI's taxonomy places the organism in Eukaryota, Viridiplantae, Streptophyta, Magnoliopsida, Fabales, Fabaceae. The record is from RefSeq and is a predicted model, not a curated record.
CCUAAAAAAAACCAGUCACGAGCAUGCCAAAACCCCGAACAAUAAAACCGCGAAUAACCAUGAUUGGUCCAACACCUAAUAAAAUCUCCGAGAACCACGAUCACUAAAUACAAUCGCCCGAAAAACCUAAACAGAAUUGCAAAAGCACAAUCUGCAAUUGCCGAGAAUGCCGAAACAGAAUCGCAAAUCACCAUGGAUUCAAGAUCCCAAAGCAGCAACCAUGAAGAAAUCACAGAGACAUCAACCAAAGGCUUUCAAUAUGAAGAAAGGAAUUCGAGACAAAUACGAACGAGAAAUAAGAUUUCCAGAGCAAUCCAGUGGAGUGUUGCUUUUCAGCCAAAAUAACAAGGAUAUACAGAUAAACAAGAAGGUAAACUUACUAUGUUCCGACAAUCCUUUGUGUGUUGGCAUGAUCUUCACUCACUCCAAAGAUUCUGGCCAUACCAAAGUCCGAUAUUUUUGGAUUCAUUUCCUCAUCUAGUAAGAUAUUACUUGCCUUCAAAUCUCUAUGUAUGAUUUUUAGCCUGGAAUCUCUAUGUAGGUAGAGUAGUCCACGAGCGAUUCCUUCAAUUAUGUUGAAUCGCUUCUCCCAAUCCAAGAGUUUAUUUCUUGAAGGAUCUAUACAAAUUAAAACCAUGACAACAUAUAGAACUUAUCUGAAGAUGGAUCAAAAUCUUCUGGCUAGAAUCUAUUGUUAAAAACUUAUGUUAAAAACUUUCAAGAAAACUCACUAGAGGUGAAAAUAUUGUGAAUUCGUUUGUAAAAUAAAAUUAUUCACGAUUAAUGAAGUAAAUUACGAAAUGUUUCAAAAGAACUAACCGAAAAUAUAUGCAUCCAAACUUCCAUUUGUCAUGAACUCAUACAUCAACAUCUUUUCAUUUCUUUUGAUUCAACAGCCUAAAAGUCUUACAAGAUUGCGAUGUUGAAGCUUAGAAAUCACUACUACUUCAUUCAUGAAUUCUUCUAACCCUUGUCCGGAUGAUCUUGAAAGUCUCUUAACUGCUAUUUCUUUACCAUCAUCUUGCAGUAUUCCAUAUGAUAGAAUACAUAAAAACUUUUAAGCAACUAAUGACUUCAAACAACAUGAACUUCUCUCGAUUUUACAUACCUUGUAUACAGGUCCAAAACCUCCUUGUCCAAGUUUAUUCGAUGAAUGAAAGUUAUUCGUAGCAGUUGCAAGCUUUUCAAAAUUAAACAGCAAUAGCUCUUGUAGCUUAGCUUGUGACAAUUCACCAAUUACAUUUUCACUUGAGUGUUCCUCUGGUUUUUCGAUUUUGUGGAAAUGAAAAAUCCUAUGAUGCUUCUUUUUUCUCUCUGAAUCAUUCAAGUAUCACAGUUUAGCAGGAGUGGCAAAAAUCAAACAUGUGUUAUUCCAUAUUCCACAUCAAUGAUACUUACCUGGUUUCAAAGCCUUUAUCCAAAUGAAAUACGCAACAAUGAUGAUAACUCCUAUCGAAACUGAAACUGCAAUGAUGAUUGUUCGUUUAUGCCCUUUAUCUGUAAUAAGGGAUCGAUAAAAAAGUUAAAACAAUAAGGUCUGAUAAAGGAGAAUAUACUAAGUAACAUAACAACUAAUAUUACCUGAUACUUGAAGUUCGACAUAGGGUACGCGAAUGUAUAGAUCAGUUCCUCUGGAUUGAAAUUGUUGUAUAUCAAUUAGAUUUCCAUUCCAAGACAUACAACCAAUACUAGCCACGUACGUAUAUGCAGUACAAGAGCAAUUCAUCAAACACUGGUUUUUGCAUUCAUCUUGUUCAUUAGAUGACAAUUCUGCAAAAUCGGGUACUUUUACCGUCCUCAAAUGCAAAAAACUAUCGGUUUCAUUACCACGUGAACUACUGCUGCUUUGAUUUUUGGCUUCUUCACACUGUAAAAGUUUCUUCCUAACACAUCCAUUAGUCCAAUAUUUUUGAUUCCACUCUUGAAGGUUUCUUGCUUCAAACCCUUCCAAACAGCUACAAAUUGGCAACCCUUCUGAAUUACAAAUUCCAAAUGGACCGCAGAAACCAUAAACAUCACAAUCUGAUCUAUGAGUAGUCCAUGUAUCGUUCCAUUUCUCUUCCUCAUCACUCCAUGAGUUUUCAUGCAGUUCACCUUGCGGAUUCAAGGCAUAGAUCAAGAGUCCGUAGUCUUCUGCUUCGAAAGACAAAACAACGGUUCCACUCUUACUACUGUCUUUCUCAAACUUAAAACCGUUAAAAAUAAAAAGAGUUGCCAUGUCUUGUAUCCCUAUAAAGAUUUGAUUAUUCCAUGGACCGCUUCGCCAGUACGGCCUAGUUCCAUUCCAAAUGAAAACUUCUGGAAUAUUCAACAGUUUGAUACCGAUGGAGAAGCUUCCGUUUGAUGGAUCAGAAAGGGUUUUCCAUGAUACAAAACAAGGCUUCCAUAAUCUGAAAGUGUGAAACUAGAAUUGGUUUUUGAUGUAACAUUGGUCAAACUUGAUGACCAAAUAGCAUGUUUUUGUCCAUUCAAUACAACAAGAUUGCCAUCAUCAUUUGAUAU